ACCUGGGUGGCUCAGUUGGUUGAGUGUCCGACUUUGGCUCAGGUCAUGACCUCACGGUUUGUGGGUUCAAGCCCCACAUCGGGUU
This 85-nucleotide transfer RNA is filed under the name Felis catus (domestic cat). It matches the Rfam family "tRNA". Rfam says of the family: Transfer RNA (tRNA) molecules are approximately 80 nucleotides in length. The record is from Rfam by way of RNAcentral. Lineage: Eukaryota; Metazoa; Chordata; Mammalia; Carnivora; Felidae.